UACGGAGGAUGCAAGCGUUAUCCGGAUUCACUGGGUUUAAAGGGUGCGCAGGCGGGAUAAUAAGUCAGAGGUGAAAUCCUACGGCUCAACUGUAGAACUGCCUUUGAUACUGUUGUUCUUGAGUAAAGUUGGAGUGGGCGGAAUGUGUUGUGUAGCGGUGAAAUGCUUAGAUAUAACACAGAACACCGAUCGCGAAGGCAGCUCACUAAGCUUUAACUGACGCUCAUGCACGAAAGCGUGGGGAUCAAACAGGAUUAGAUACCCUGGUAGUCCACGCUGUAAACGAUGAUCACUCGCUGUUGGCGAUAUACUGUCAGUGGCUAAGCGAAAGUGAUAAGUGAUCCACCUGGGGAGUACGAUCGCAAGAUUG
RNAcentral lists this ribosomal RNA (370 nucleotides) under uncultured prokaryote. RNAcentral describes it as "bacterial SSU rRNA". It matches the Rfam family "Bacterial small subunit ribosomal RNA", at positions 524 to 896 of the family's 1533-position model. The record is from RNAcentral.